AGUAGAUUCGAUCCUCGCCAUACUCUUCCAUGUUAGUUAUGGUUUACCAAGCCAUAAAUGUUAUACCCUAAAUGCUAAUUAAGGCAUAAGGGUGAAAGAUAUGGAAACAGAUUACGAGUGCAUGACAAAUAAUUGUAUGCAGCAGAGCAAAUUAUUACAAAUUCCCUACCAAAAUAUAUGAGUUCCAAUUAUACAUAUAACUGAGGCCAGAAGUGGCAACAAAAUACAAAAUAUCAAAAUACAAAAAUGGCCACUUUAUUUACUUUGUGAAUGGACUCAUCAGAGUGCAGGACAAGUCAUGCACUCAAGGUUUGUGGAUUCAUAGGAUCCUCAUUGACU
This 339-nucleotide long non-coding RNA is filed under the name Carica papaya (papaya). RNAcentral describes it as "long non-coding RNA (CPAP_LNC013079)". The record is from RNAcentral. Lineage: Eukaryota; Viridiplantae; Streptophyta; Magnoliopsida; Brassicales; Caricaceae.